AGUGAACGCUGGCGGUAGGCCUAACACAUGCAAGUCGAACGGCAGCACAGUAAGAGCUUGCUCUUACGGGUGGCGAGUGGCGGACGGGUGAGGAAUACAUCGGAAUCUACUUUUUCGUGGGGGAUAACGUAGGGAAACUUACGCUAAUACCGCAUACGACCUACGGGUGAAAGCAGGGGAUCUUCGGACCUUGCGCGAUUGAAUGAGCAGAUGUCGGAUUAGCUAGUUGGCGGGGUAAAGGCCCACCAAGGCGACGAUCCGUAGCUGGUCUGAGAGGAUGAUCAGCCACACUGGAACUGAGACACGGUCCAGACUCCUACGGGAGGCGGCAGUGGGGAAUAUUGGACAAUGGGCGCAAGCCUGAUCCAGCCAUACCGCGUGGGUGAAGAAGGCCUUCGGGUUGUAAAGCCCUUUUGUUGGGAAAGAAAAGCAGCAGGUUAAUACCCCGCUGUUCUGACGGUACCCAAAGAAUAAGCACCGGCUAACUUCGUG
RNAcentral lists this ribosomal RNA (492 nucleotides) under uncultured bacterium. RNAcentral's name for it is "partial 16S ribosomal RNA". It matches the Rfam family "Bacterial small subunit ribosomal RNA", at positions 29 to 507 of the family's 1533-position model. The record is from RNAcentral.